UACGUAGGGGGCAAGCGUUGUCCGGAUUUAUUGGGCGUAAAGAGCGUGUAGGCGGCUAGAUAGGUCCGUUGUGAAAACUCGAGGCUCAACCUCGAGACGUCGAUGGAAACCAUCUGGCUAGAGUCCGGAAGAGGAGAGUGGAACUCCUGGUGUAGCGGUGAAAUGCGCAGAUAUCAGGAGGAACACCGGUGGCGAAGGCGGAUCUCUGGGCCUUACCUGACGCUCAGGCGCGAAAGCUAGGGGAGCGAACAGG
This 253-nucleotide ribosomal RNA is filed under the name uncultured bacterium. RNAcentral's name for it is "partial 16S ribosomal RNA". It matches the Rfam family "Bacterial small subunit ribosomal RNA", at positions 524 to 776 of the family's 1533-position model. The record is from RNAcentral.